Molecule: ribosomal RNA, 465 nt
Filed under: Vreelandella stevensii
Lineage: Bacteria; Pseudomonadati; Pseudomonadota; Gammaproteobacteria; Oceanospirillales; Halomonadaceae
Description: partial 16S ribosomal RNA
Rfam family: Bacterial small subunit ribosomal RNA
Source: RNAcentral
CCUACGGGGUGCAGCAGUGGGGAAUAUUGGACAAUGGGCGAAAGCCUGAUCCAGCCAUGCCGCGUGUGUGAAGAAGGCCUUCGGGUUGUAAAGCACUUUCAGUGGGGAAGAAAGCCUUGGGGCUAAUACCCUCGAGGAAGGACAUCACCCACAGAAGAAGCACCGGCUAACUCCGUGCCAGCAGCCGCGGUAAUACGGAGGGUGCGAGCGUUAAUCGGAAUUACUGGGCGUAAAGCGCGCGUAGGCGGUCUGAUAAGCCGGUUGUGAAAGCCCCGGGCUCAACCUGGGAACGGCAUCCGGAACUGUCAGGCUAGAGUGCAGGAGAGGAAGGUAGAAUUCCCGGUGUAGCGGUGAAAUGCGUAGAGCUCGGGAGGAAUACCAGUGGCGACGGCGGCCUUCUGGACUGACACUGACGCUGAGGUGCGAAAGCGUGGGUAGCAAACAGGAUUAGAUACCCGUGUAGUC